This 960-nucleotide ribosomal RNA is filed under the name Paraburkholderia sp. RNAcentral describes it as "bacterial SSU rRNA". It matches the Rfam family "Bacterial small subunit ribosomal RNA", at positions 111 to 1066 of the family's 1533-position model. The record is from RNAcentral. Lineage: Bacteria; Pseudomonadati; Pseudomonadota; Betaproteobacteria; Burkholderiales; Burkholderiaceae.
UAAUACAUCGGAACAUGUCCAGUAGUGGGGGAUAGCCCGGCGAAAGCCGGAUUAAUACCGCAUACGAUCUACGGAUGAAAGCGGGGGAUCGCAAGACCUCGCGCUAUUGGGGUGGCCGAUGGCGGAUUAGCUAGUUGGUGGGGUAAAGGCCCACCAAGGCGACGAUCCGUAGCUGGUCUGAGAGGACGACCAGCCACACUGGGACUGAGACACGGCCCAGACUCCUACGGGAGGCAGCAGUGGGGAAUUUUGGACAAUGGGCGCAAGCCUGAUCCAGCAAUGCCGCGUGUGUGAAGAAGGCCUUCGGGUUGUAAAGCACUUUUGUCCGGAAAGAAAUCCUUUUCGAUAAUACCGAGAGGGGAUGACGGUACCGGAAGAAUAAGCACCGGCUAACUACGUGCCAGCAGCCGCGGUAAUACGUAGGGUGCGAGCGUUAAUCGGAAUUACUGGGCGUAAAGCGUGCGCAGGCGGUGAUGCAAGACCGAUGUGAAAUCCCCGGGCUUAACCUGGGAACUGCAUUGGUGACUGCAUCGCUAGAGUAUGGCAGAGGGGGGUAGAAUUCCACGUGUAGCAGUGAAAUGCGUAGAGAUGUGGAGGAAUACCGAUGGCGAAGGCAGCCCCCUGGGUCAAUACUGACGCUCAUGCACGAAAGCGUGGGGAGCAAACAGGAUUAGAUACCCUGGUAGUCCACGCCCUAAACGAUGUCAACUGGUUGUCGGGUCUUCAUUGACUUGGUAACGUAGCUAACGCGUGAAGUUGACCGCCUGGGGAGUACGGUCGCAAGAUUAAAACUCAAAGGAAUUGACGGGGACCCGCACAAGCGGUGGAUGAUGUGGAUUAAUUCGAUGCAACGCGAAAAACCUUACCUACCCUUGACAUGUACGGAAGUCCGCUGAGAGGUGGAUGUGCCCGAAAGGGAGCCGUAACACAGGUGCUGCAUGGCUGUCGUCAGCUCGUGUC